This 295-nucleotide long non-coding RNA is filed under the name Ananas comosus (pineapple). Its description in RNAcentral is "long non-coding RNA (ACOM_LNC011909)". The record is from RNAcentral. Lineage: Eukaryota; Viridiplantae; Streptophyta; Magnoliopsida; Poales; Bromeliaceae.
AUAUAUAUAUAUAUAUAUAUAUAGUCCAGCUACUAUACUAUCAAUAGUAGCAAGUCCUUGGUACUAUUGAGUUUUCUAUCGUUAGAUCCACCCUUUGAUCAUUUUCAUCUAUUGGAUUAUACUAUUAAACCAACCACCCACUGAACCCUAGGGGACCACUAUCAAUUUAACCGGGGACCACUAUCAUCCUAACCAUACAUCCUUUCAUCCAACGGCCGAAAACUCAAUAGUACCAAGGGCUUGGUACUAUUGAUAGUAUAGUAGCAUAAUUCUAUAUAUAUAUAUAUAUAUAUGC